GGGGGGGUCCCCAUCCCAUCCCUUUUUAUUUUAGGGGGUGCCCAUCCCAUUAUACUGGGGGGGGUCUCCGUGCCCCCUCCCCCUUCCUCCCCCCCCCCCCAAUUAAGCGUCAGUGCCCUUUGGGGACGUGGCCGUCCACGUAGAAGUUGCGGGUGACGCGCGGCAGAGUGAAGACAGCGCCCUCCAGCGGUGGGAGGAGCGUCAGCUGACAGCACAGCCGCGACUCCACGCGCAGCUGCGGCGCCGUGUCCAGGAGGUCCUCCUCCCUCUCGCAGGGGGGGGGCAGAUGCUCCAGGUGUGGGGCGCUGACGUAGACGUGGCACGUGGAGCACGCCAGGGACGCCUCGCACGCCCCCUCAAUGGGAACGCCGCACUC
RNAcentral lists this long non-coding RNA (376 nucleotides) under Gallus gallus (chicken). The record is from RNAcentral. Lineage: Eukaryota; Metazoa; Chordata; Aves; Galliformes; Phasianidae.